GCCUACGGGGCGCAGCAGUUGGGGAUAUUGCACAAUGGGGGGAACCCUGAUGCAGCGACGCCGCGUGAAGGAAGAAGUAUCUCGGUAUGUAAACUUCUAUCAGCAGGGAAGAAAAUGACGGUACCUGACUAAGAAGCCCCGGCUAACUACGUGCCAGCAGCCGCGGUAAUACGUAGGGGGCAAGCGUUAUCCGGAUUUACUGGGUGUAAAGGGAGCGUAGGCGGCAGUGCAAGUCAGAAGUGAAAGCCCGGGGCUCAACUCCGGGACUGCUUUUGAAACUGUACAGCUUGAUUG
This 294-nucleotide ribosomal RNA is filed under the name uncultured bacterium. RNAcentral describes it as "partial 16S ribosomal RNA". It matches the Rfam family "Bacterial small subunit ribosomal RNA", at positions 337 to 648 of the family's 1533-position model. The record is from RNAcentral.